CCCUUGCACUCUUUAUCCAAAAGCCAUAGAAAUACAAACAGAGAAUACUUCCCCAGUGUAGAAAUCUCUUUAGCAGCAACAUCUUAGCUGAAAUUUCUAGGACACUAUUUUUGUACUUGCAUGUAUGAUUUGGCAGCAACAUCAGUUAUAGAAUGGUGUAUUAUGAGUAAUGAAUUUUAUCCUGAUCAUCAGUCCAUCGUAUUCUUAUGAGCUUUUAUGGGACCAAAAGAUGGUUUUGCAGGUGGGAAGAUUAACACCUAGGUCUCCAACUCAAAUCAGUAUGGUUUUGCAUAAUGUUCAUGAAAUUCAAAUUCAGUACAUGUUUUCGAAAGAACAAGGAAUAAGAAAAAUGUGUUAUUAGGGAUUUUUUUUUUUUUUUUGUUGGAAUGCUGAGGAUUUAUGUUUCUCUAGAAGAAUUACAGCUAUUUUCCACCAGUUCAGAGCUCUCUUUCAUGCAAUCCAUUUCCUAGAAAAGAGCACUUGGGAUCCUCGGUGACAUAUUUUGAGUGCCAAUCCAAUGCCACCUCUAAUAUUGCGCCAAGUGUUCUGUUAUUAUUUAUACUUUAAUUUUUUAAUAAUUUAAAUUAAUUUGAUUUAACACAAAUUUUCUCUACCCUCUAAAACUUUGAACCAAAAUUAAACAGCCGGUCUAAUUCAAAUACCAUCACUUUUGAGUUAACCACUCACGAUCCGGGAAAAAAGAAAAAGAAAACCUAAGCGAUUGAGCCACCAAAGUCUUUCAUCGGUGAUUGCUUUGAACAAAGCCAAAAAGAGACAAAGUCCCUGGAAGCUUGUGUAUCAUCUCCACUCAGAUGAGGUCCACACUUCAAUGACGUUCUCCAGCAGAUUCCUCCACCAGCUCCGCCAUUCCGCGUGGCAUCAUCUCCACUGCCAAUUGCCUCACCGUCAAAGGCACCAAGGACGUCCUCAAUAAGCCCUCCACUGGCAGGGAUACCGUGGAACAUUUCCAGAGAGUGAGUUGUUUCGGACGUCUAGAACUUCAAGAAUUGGAGGGAUUGAGCCAAAUAAGCGAUUAAAACUCAAGUAGAAGGGCAAAGCCAAAAUUACAUUGGAAAGGGGGAAAUUAAGCCCCUUGGAGGAGAACGAUGCAAGGUUCUUCAAAACUUCUACCAACAUUCCUUGGAGGAGAACGAUGAAGCCUAUGAUUCCCCAGAAGCAUUUCUUGUUGUGCAUCUCCUGAAAAAUUUUCUUCUCUUCAAAAAGCCUGGCAUUGACCACUGUGGAAACUUGGCACAGAACAUAGGUCGUGAAGAUAAGAGUAUUCUUCUCAUUCACAUUAACUUUCAGAAUUAAUUGGCCUUUAAAAUGGAUGGCCAGCAAUACUGCAAUAUGAUAUAUCGCCUGUGCACUUAUGCUUCUUUGCAUAACAUCAUUCAUCAAUGGUUCGUCCCGAUCCCUCGGUGGCUUGGACAUGAGCUCUUCAGAGGGCUGUUUAAUUAUCAGAGAAAUAGCAGCAAAGAAUCCCAGAAUUAGCUUGACCCACAGAAGUUGAAAAACUGGAUAUGGUAUUUUACCUGUAGAAAUGACUGCCAUAGCAUCAAAAUCUGGGGGCUCAAUCGCUUAGGUUUUCUUUUUCUUUUUCCCCAGAUCGUGAGUUGUUAACUCAAAAGUGAUGAUAUUUGAAUUAGACCGGUCGGUUAAUUUUGGUUCAAAGUUUUAGAGAGUAGAGAAAAUUUGUGUUAAAUCAAACCAAUUUGAAUUAUUAAAAAAUUAAAGUACAAAUAAUAACAGGACACUUGGCGUAAUAUUAGAGGUGGCAUUGGAUUGGCACUCAAAAUAUGUCACCGAGGAUCCCAAGUGAGAAAAGAGGACCCCUUGGACGGAGAAAUGGCUGAGCUCCUAGCUUUCAGCUUGUCCAUUUUGUUUCCAACCUUUUAACUCUGUAUAAAAAUAUUACAGUUUUAUACUAAUUUUAUCAAGUACUCUGCGAAUUAAUCAAGUGUAUAGUCAUGUUCAUCCUAAAUCAUGUGAAAGUAUGUAAUGUCUUGAUUAUAUAUUUCAAAUUAUAACCAACUACUAUAUGACAAUGAAAAAUAUAUUUAUGUUCCUGAAUAGUCCAAUUGCAAAGCUGUCCCCAAAAAAAUUAAAAAAUAAAUAGCCAUAUUGCAAAAAAUUUUAUAUUUUUACCUCACUCUUGAAACUUAAAGGAGUCGAUUAUCAAGCUAUGGAAUUAUAUAUACAUCCAAAUUAUACGUAUGUAUUAGAGGUUGGGGCGAUUUCAGGUACAACGGCCUGAACAUUACUGUGUAGUGUAAACACAUAGCAUUAUUUUUUUAAAAUUUAUAAUUCACCCUCAAUGAUAAGGGUAAUUUGUCCAAUAUAUUAAAAAACCUUUCCCACAAUUAGGAAAGAGCUAUUUACAUAAAUUAUUUGUAAAAAUUAUUCACUUUUUCACACUAACUUCUCACUCCUACUCCACGUAUUCUGCUCAACUUAUAUUAUUAUCUUUUUAUACAAUUAUCUACAUUAUAAAAUAACUUAACCAAUAAAAAAUAAUUUUCAUAAAUAUGUUUUUUAUUAAUUGCGCACAUGUUAGGGCGUGUCUCAAACACUAAUAUAAUUAAUUUCCCUAAUUUGCCAUAAAGAUUUUUUUUAAAAAAAUCUAUACCUUCGGUCGGACGUAAACUUCAAUUGAAUGACUCAGACCAACCCGAUCACGAUUGCAAAUUUGCAAUGGAGAUCCUAAAUCGUGCAAAGCAGGGCCAGAAAAAAAAAAAAAAAAAAAAAAAAAAAAAAAA
RNAcentral lists this long non-coding RNA (2759 nucleotides) under Coffea arabica (coffee). RNAcentral's name for it is "long non-coding RNA (CARA_LNC003149)". The record is from RNAcentral. Lineage: Eukaryota; Viridiplantae; Streptophyta; Magnoliopsida; Gentianales; Rubiaceae.